RNAcentral lists this long non-coding RNA (812 nucleotides) under Vombatus ursinus (common wombat). RNAcentral's name for it is "lncRNA (ENSVURG00010010839.1)". Lineage: Eukaryota; Metazoa; Chordata; Mammalia; Diprotodontia; Vombatidae. The record is from RNAcentral.
GAGUGAGGGAGAAGAGAGGAGGAGGAGGAGGAGGAGGAGGAGGGAGGGGGGACAGCCUCCCAUCUUAACACACUCGAGUAUAUUCAAAAAGUGAGAGGCCCAGAGCAGCAGCAGCAGCAGCAGCAGCUCCAGCAGCAGCAGCAGCAGCAGCAGCUCCAGCGCCUUCCUUCCCUCCCUCCCUCCUUCCUUGCUUCCCUCCCUCCCUCCCUCUCUCCCCAUGAAGAAGAGUCCCCUCCUCCUCCUCCUCCUCCUCCUCCUCCUCCUGCUGCUUCUCCUGCUCAGAGUUCCUGCCUCCAGCUGCCAGGGGGACAGCCAGCCAGCAGCAGGAGGGGAGAACUUACCUAGGUGCACGUUACAGAGGUGUCAGAGGGUAACAAGAUUUCAUGGACCUGGAGGUAAAGAACUUUUGAGAAAAGACGUCUCCAUGGGCCUACGGAAGCCUCAGUGGUGAAGUGGUCCUAUUUUUCCCACUUACUACAUUGUCCUCGCUCCUGCCAUCCUGGACUCAUCCAUGUGGGUAACUGCCACGAAGAUAGAUGCCCACUCGCCUUGUGUGGACAGCUCUCAGUUCUGCCCAGUAGGAGGUGCUGCAACGACAGAAGGCCAUUUCUUCUGCUGAAUUUUGAGCUUGGCCUUACCACUCGUGUUCGGCAUCUGGGCCAAAGGAGUGACAGGUUAACAUUCAGCUCAGAGUUCCAGGAGUGCCUUCAGGGGACCAGAGAGCUGAAAGAAAGCUGGCUUUUCUGAAAGUUGCUGCAGUGAGAAGACAUUUAUCAUUUUGAAUAAAGACUGAAGAAACUGUAGAAUUAGCA